AUGGCCUUUCACUUUUUUUUUUUUUUAAGUUGCUAUGGAAAUUGCAGUAGCAUUUGCCGUUCCGGUGUUUUUGUAAUAGAACCCAUUGGAGCAGAACUCCCUGACAUUUGUUGUCCAUGUCCUGCUAGAGCAGAUCUUCCUAACCCUUUAUUUCCUUGUCGCACUAUAUCAGAACUCUCUAAUUGCCAUGACACUGCAGCAAAACCCUCUGCCCCUUGUAGUUUAUGUCUCACUGAGGCAGAACUCCUUGAAUCUUGCUGUCCCAUUGUAGCAGAACUCCCUAACCCUUGCAGUUCCUGUCCCAUUGUAGCAGAACUCCCUAACCCUUGCAGUUCCUGUCCCAUUGUAGCAGAACUCCCUAACCAGUGCAGUUCCUGUCCCAUUGUAGCAGAACUCCCUAACCCUUGCAGUUCCUGUCCCAUUGUAGCAGAACUCCCUAACCCGUGCAGUUCCUGUCCCAUUGUAGCAGAACUCCCUAACCCUUGCAGUUCCUGUCCCAUUGUAGCAGAACUCCCUAACCCUUGCAGUUCCUGUCCCAUUGUAGCAGAACUCCCUAACCCUUGCAGUUCCUGUCCCAUUGUAGCAGAACUCCCUAACCCUUGCAGUUCCUGUCCCAUUGUAGCAGAACUCCCUAACCCUUGCAGUUCCUGUCCCAUUGUAGCAGAACUCCCUAACCCUUGCAGUUCCUGUCCCAUUGUAGCAGAACUCCCUAACCCUUGCAGUUCCUGUCCCAUUGUAGCAGAACUCCCUAACCCUUGCAGUUCCUGUCCCAUUGUAGCAGAACUCCCUAACCCUUGCAGUUCCUGUCCCAUUGUAGCAGAACUCCCUGACCCUUGCAGUUCCUGUCCCAUUGUAGCAGAACUCCCUGACCCUUGCAGUUCCUGUCCCAUUGUAGCAGAACUUCCUGACCCUUGCAGUUCCUGUCCCAUUGUAGCAGAACCUAUUGGACAUACACAGGAAAACUGUAAAUAUCAAAACCACAUUAAGUACAACAUAAUCAUUUGCAGUCAUUUCCAGUUCAUUGUAUUUAAGCCUUAA
Molecule: long non-coding RNA, 1038 nt
Organism: Cyprinus carpio (common carp)
Lineage: Eukaryota; Metazoa; Chordata; Actinopteri; Cypriniformes; Cyprinidae
Source: Ensembl